Molecule: long non-coding RNA, 366 nt
Filed under: Physcomitrium patens
Lineage: Eukaryota; Viridiplantae; Streptophyta; Bryopsida; Funariales; Funariaceae
Description: long non-coding RNA (PPAT_LNC005789)
Source: RNAcentral
UUUCAUAGUAAAUAUUAUAGAAUUAACUUAUUUUUAUCUAUUUUUACUUAUUUCUACUUAUUUAUACAUAUAAAUAAUGCCUUACAUGCAUAUAUUAGUAACAUUACCUCGUCUUCUAAGGAUGAGUUCCAUGAAGAGCAGUCAUCAUAUGUUGAGGAAAUCUAUGAUGCUACGAAUUAUAUUUGCUACAUACUGUGAUCUUUGUUUUCUUCGAAAAUAAUUCAUAAGGCCUCUCAACCAUCGAUAAUAUUUCAUACUAGGAUGGAAAGACCACCUAGUUAUUUGAUCAUUAUUGAAGCCUUCAUAACUUCUUUUGAAUAAAAUAUUUGGAACACCAUCAAAAGUUGUUCUUACUUCUAAUAAAAU